RNAcentral lists this ribosomal RNA (327 nucleotides) under uncultured eukaryote. RNAcentral describes it as "partial 18S ribosomal RNA". It matches the Rfam family "Eukaryotic small subunit ribosomal RNA", at positions 1470 to 1796 of the family's 1831-position model. The record is from RNAcentral.
CCCUUAGAUGUCCUGGGCCGCACGCGCGUUACACUGAUGCAUUCAACGAGCUUAUAACCUUGCCGAGAGGCCUGGGCAAUCUUGUUAACGUGCAUCGUGAUAGGGAUAGAUUAUUGAAAUUAUUAAUCUUGAACGAGGAAUUCCUAGUAAACGCAGAUCAUCAAUCUGCAUUGAUUACGUCCCUGCCCUUUGUACACACCGCCCGUCGCACCUACCGAUUGGAUGGUCCGGUGAAGCCUCGGGAUUGUGGUUCUUGCCGCUUUAUUGUGGCGUGACCGCGAGAACUUGUCUAAACCUUAUCAUCUAGAGGAAGGUGAAGUCGUAACA